AGCCUGAACGCUGGCGGCGUGGUUAAGACAUGCAAGUCGCACGGACGUAGCAAUACGUUAGUGGCGAACGGGUGAGUAAUGAAUCGCUAAUGUACCCCGGACUCCGGGAUAGCUGCCCGAAAGGGCAGGUAAUACCGGAUGACAUGACCGCACGGCAUCGUGUGGUUCUCAAAGGUCCGCCGGUCUGGGCGCAGGCGAUUUCGUAUCAGCUAGUUGGUGAGGUAACGGCUCACCAAGGCGACGACGCGUAGCCGGACUGAGAGGUUGGCCGGCCACAUCGGGACUGAGACACUGCCCGGAUCCUACGGGGGCUGCAGUACGAAUCUUCCCCAAUGCACGCAAGUGUGAGGGAGCGACGCCGCGUGUGGGACGAAGUCCUUCGGGAUGUAAACCACUGUCAGGGGAUACCAAGUUCUGAGGAUCCCCAGAGGAAGAGGCGGCUAACUCUGUGCCAGCAGCCGC
RNAcentral lists this ribosomal RNA (462 nucleotides) under uncultured bacterium. RNAcentral describes it as "SSU rRNA". It matches the Rfam family "Bacterial small subunit ribosomal RNA", at positions 26 to 518 of the family's 1533-position model. The record is from RNAcentral.